CCGUAGGUGAACCUGCGGAAGGAUCAUUGUCGAAACCUGCAAAGCAGAACGACCCGCGAACCGUUGUCGAAAACAACGACGGGGCGGGGGCGAGCCGCGGGCCCGUCCCGCUCUCUCCCCCGGCCCCGUCCCACGAACAAAACCCCGGCGCGAGAUGCGCCAAGGAAUCAAAAACGAAAAGACAGGGAACGGGCGGCCCGUCGCGUGCCGGAAACGGAUCUCUCGCGGGCGGCCCUUUCUCUUUCGGAAACAAAACGACUCUCGGCAACGGAUAUCUCGGCUCUCGCAUCGAUGAAGAACGUAGCGAAAUGCGAUACUUGGUGUGAAUUGCAGAAUCCCGUGAACCAUCGAGUCUUUGAACGCAAGUUGCGCCCGAAGCCUUCGGGCCGAGGGCACGUCUGCCUGGGUGUCAUGCAUCGUCGCCCCCCCAUCCUUCCGUCUCCCCCGAGGGGGAAGGGGGUACGGGGCGGGCGGAGAUUGGUCUCCCGUGCGCUCCCGCUCGCGGUUGGCCGAAAUACGAGUUGUUGGCGGCCGAGAGCGCCACGGCAAGCGGUGGUUGUCAAAGACCUUCGGAGAUUGCCGUUGGCGAGGCCGUCACGAGGCUCCGGGACCCUGUUUUCUAACCACAGCGACCCCAGGUCAGGCGGGAUUACCCGCUGAGUUU
RNAcentral lists this ribosomal RNA (664 nucleotides) under Passiflora edulis. RNAcentral describes it as "eukaryotic LSU rRNA". The stretch from base 257 to 412 matches the Rfam family "5.8S ribosomal RNA". RNAcentral also lists the same sequence under 1 other name. The record is from RNAcentral. Lineage: Eukaryota; Viridiplantae; Streptophyta; Magnoliopsida; Malpighiales; Passifloraceae.